AGCAGCUUGGCGCAGUGGAAGCGUGCAGGGCCCAUAACCCUGAUGUCCAGGAUCGAAAUCUGGAGUUGUAA
This is a non-coding RNA of Sphaerobolus stellatus SS14, 71 nucleotides long. The record is from the annotation of a GenBank genome assembly. Lineage: Eukaryota; Fungi; Basidiomycota; Agaricomycetes; Geastrales; Sphaerobolaceae.